GAUGAACGCUGGCGGCGUGCUUAACACAUGCAAGUCGAACGAUGAAGCCCAGCUUUCUGGGUGGAUUAGAGUCGAAAGGGUGUGUAACACCUGAGUACCCUGUCCUUAACACUGGGAUAUGCCCCGGGAAAUCUGUCUCAUACAGGAUAUGAGAGUCUAUUGCAUGUUGCGUGUUGGAAAGAUUUAUCGGUUUUGGAUGGACUCGCGGCCUAUCAGCUUGUUGGUGGGGUAAUGGCUCACCAAGGCGACGACGGGUAGCCGGCCUGAGAGGGUGACCGGCCACACUGGGACUGAGACACGGCCCAGACUCCUACGGGAGGCAGCAGUGGGGAAUAUUGCACAAUGGGCGCAAGCCUAAUGCAGGGACGCCGCGUGAGGGAUGACGGCCUUCGGUUUGUAAACCUCUUUCAGUAGGGAAGAAGCGAAUGUGACGGUACCUGCAGAAGAAGCACCGGCUAACUACGUG
This 466-nucleotide ribosomal RNA is filed under the name uncultured bacterium. Its description in RNAcentral is "partial 16S ribosomal RNA". It matches the Rfam family "Bacterial small subunit ribosomal RNA", at positions 28 to 507 of the family's 1533-position model. The record is from RNAcentral.